GCAAACUUGGUCAUUUAGAGGAAGUAAAAGUCGUAACAAGGUCUCCGUUGGUGAACCAGCGGAGGGAUCAUUAAUGAGUUACUAAACUCCAAAACCCUUUGUGAACCUUACCGUCGUUUCCUCGGCGCGUGCUGCUGCUACCUGGAGCUACCUUGGAAGGCACCUACCCUGUAGUGGUUGUCUGCCAAGAGCUAUCCUGUCAGGCACCUACCUCUGUAGUGGUUGUCUGCCAGGAGCUGUCUUGGCAGGCACCUACCCUAUAGUAGUUGUCUACCCUGGAGCUACCCUGUAGCCGCGUGAAGGCCCGUCGAAGGACCGUUAAACUCUUGCUUCUACAACUGUAUCUCUGAACACGUAACUGAAAUAAGUUAAAACUUUCAACAACGGAUCUCUUGGUUCUGGCAUCGAUGAAGAACGCAGC
This 421-nucleotide unclassified non-coding RNA is filed under the name uncultured fungus. Its description in RNAcentral is "partial contains small subunit ribosomal RNA, internal transcribed spacer 1, and 5.8S ribosomal RNA". The stretch from base 1 to 73 matches the Rfam family "Eukaryotic small subunit ribosomal RNA", at positions 1759 to 1831 of the family's 1831-position model. The record is from RNAcentral. Lineage: Eukaryota; Fungi.